This 255-nucleotide ribosomal RNA is filed under the name uncultured bacterium. Its description in RNAcentral is "partial 16S ribosomal RNA". It matches the Rfam family "Bacterial small subunit ribosomal RNA", at positions 524 to 776 of the family's 1533-position model. The record is from RNAcentral.
GACAUAGGUUGCGAACGUUAUCCGGAAUUAUUGGGCGUAAAGGAUGCGUAGAUGGUGUGAUAAGUUAUCAGUGGCAAAUCGAGGCUCAACCUCGUGGAAGCUGGUAAUACUGUCAUGCUUGAGUACAGGAGAGGUUAACGGAACUCCAUGUGGAGCGGUAAAAUGUGACGAUAUAUGGAAGAACACCGAUAAGGCGAAGGCAGUUAACUAUUCUGUUACUGACAUUGAGGCAUGAAAGCGUGGGGAGCAAAACGG